RNAcentral lists this transfer RNA (73 nucleotides) under Stegodyphus mimosarum. It matches the Rfam family "tRNA". Rfam says of the family: Transfer RNA (tRNA) molecules are approximately 80 nucleotides in length. Their secondary structure includes four short double-helical elements and three loops (D, anti-codon, and T loops). Further hydrogen bonds mediate the characteristic L-shaped molecular structure. tRNAs have two regions of fundamental functional importance: the anti-codon, which is responsible for specific mRNA codon recognition, and the 3' end, to which the tRNAs corresponding amino acid is attached (by aminoacyl-tRNA synthetases). tRNAs cope with the degeneracy of the genetic code in two manners: having more than one tRNA (with a specific anti-codon) for a particular amino acid; and 'wobble' base-pairing, i.e. permitting non-standard base-pairing at the 3rd anti-codon position. The record is from Rfam by way of RNAcentral. Lineage: Eukaryota; Metazoa; Arthropoda; Arachnida; Araneae; Eresidae.
GCCUUCGUGGUGUAGUGGUCAGCACACUUGACUUGUAACCGAGAGGUCCGUGGUUCGAUUCCCGGCGCAGGUG